CAGGAUGUGGUGUAAAGAGAGCACAAAGGGUUUUGAGUCCUUUGGUAUAGGUUCAAAUCCUAUUGUCCUAG
Non-coding RNA from Sarcophilus harrisii (Tasmanian devil), 71 nucleotides. The record is from Rfam. Lineage: Eukaryota; Metazoa; Chordata; Mammalia; Dasyuromorphia; Dasyuridae.